AUACGUAGGGGGCGAGCGUUGCUCGGAAUGAUUGGGCGUAAAGGGCGCGUAGGCGGCCCGGUAAGUCUGGAGUGAAAGUCCUGUUUUUAAGCUGGGAAUUGCUUUGGAAACUGUCGGGCUUGAGUGCAGUAGAGGUAAGUGGAAUUCCCAGUGUAGAGGUGAAAUGCGUAGAGAUUGGGAGGAACACCAGUGGCGAAGGCGAAUUACUGGACUGUAACUGACGCUGAGGCGCGAAAUUGUGGGGAGCAAACAGGAUUAGAUACCCUGGUAGUCCACACUGUAAACGAUGAAUGCUAGGUGUAGGGGGUAUCGACCCUUUCUGUGCCGCAGUCAACACAAUAAGCAUUCCGCCUGGGGAGUACGGCCGCAAGGUUGAAACUCAAAUGAAUUGACGGGG
RNAcentral lists this ribosomal RNA (397 nucleotides) under uncultured bacterium. RNAcentral's name for it is "partial 16S ribosomal RNA". It matches the Rfam family "Bacterial small subunit ribosomal RNA", at positions 523 to 918 of the family's 1533-position model. The record is from RNAcentral.